This 471-nucleotide ribosomal RNA is filed under the name uncultured organism. Its description in RNAcentral is "partial 16S ribosomal RNA". It matches the Rfam family "Bacterial small subunit ribosomal RNA", at positions 334 to 797 of the family's 1533-position model. The record is from RNAcentral.
AACUCCUACGGGAGGCAGCAGUGGGGAAUUUUGGACAAUGGGCGAAAGCCUGAUCCAGCAAUGCCGCGUGCAGGAUGAAGGCCUUCGGGUUGUAAACUGCUUUUGUACGGAACGAAAAAGCUCCUUCUAAUACAGGGGGCCCAUGACGGUACCGUAAGAAUAAGCACCGGCUAACUACGUGCCAGCAGCCGCGGUAAUACGUAGGGUGCGAGCGUUAAUCGGAAUUACUGGGCGUAAAGCGUGCGCAGGCGGUUAUGUAAGACAGAUGUGAAAUCCCCGGGCUCAACCUGGGAACUGCAUUUGUGACUGCAUGGCUAGAGUACGGUAGAGGGGGAUGGAAUUCCGCGUGUAGCAGUGAAAUGCGUAGAUAUGCGGAGGAACACCGAUGGCGAAGGCAAUCCCCUGGACCUGUACUGACGCUCAUGCACGAAAGCGUGGGGAGCAAACAGGAUUAGAUACCCCGGUAGUCCC